RNAcentral lists this transfer RNA (70 nucleotides) under Dipodomys ordii (Ord's kangaroo rat). It matches the Rfam family "tRNA". Rfam says of the family: Transfer RNA (tRNA) molecules are approximately 80 nucleotides in length. Their secondary structure includes four short double-helical elements and three loops (D, anti-codon, and T loops). Lineage: Eukaryota; Metazoa; Chordata; Mammalia; Rodentia; Heteromyidae. The record is from Rfam by way of RNAcentral.
GGCAGUGUGGCUCAGUGGUAGAGUGCUUGCCUGGCAGGCAUGAAGUCAUGGGUUCAAUUCCUCACAGACA